RNAcentral lists this long non-coding RNA (414 nucleotides) under Coffea arabica (coffee). RNAcentral describes it as "long non-coding RNA (CARA_LNC001532)". The record is from RNAcentral. Lineage: Eukaryota; Viridiplantae; Streptophyta; Magnoliopsida; Gentianales; Rubiaceae.
UUAUUGAUUUUGCAGACUCAGGCACGUCUACAAAUAAUCUAUGCAGUACACUUGCCUUCUGUUACAUUUUAUUCUUUUCUAAAAUGGUUGAUAACUUUGGGAAUACUGAUGUUUGCCUCUAUGUGAUAUUGGAUAGUGAUGCAUAGAGCUGAAGAAACUGUCCCUGGUAUUUUGGAGGAAAAGAGCUACUGAUCUUUCCUUGGUGAUGAAGAUUCUCUUGUUCAAUUUUUAAAUAAGAACUAUGUAACUACUUUUCUUUUAAGCUUCUGUAAAGCUUAAUUUUUUCUAGUCCAGUUGUUCAGAAAUUUUAGAUGUAUUCAAGAAUGCAUUUCAAUUUAAAUGAGUCUCUUAUGAGAAGUAUCCUUGCAGCUUCGUCCUUGCUCACUGCUUGGUUCUAAUCUCUCCUUUUAUCCU